RNAcentral lists this ribosomal RNA (443 nucleotides) under uncultured bacterium. Its description in RNAcentral is "partial 16S ribosomal RNA". It matches the Rfam family "Bacterial small subunit ribosomal RNA", at positions 338 to 795 of the family's 1533-position model. The record is from RNAcentral.
CCUACGGGAGGCAGCAGUGGGGAAUAUUGGGCAAUGGGCGCAAGCCUGACCCAGCAACGCCGCGUGAAGGAAGAAGGCUUUCGGGUUGUAAACUUCUUUUGUCAGGGACGAAGCAAGUGACGGUACCUGACGAAUAAGCCACGGCUAACUACGUGCCAGCAGCCGCGGUAAUACGUAGGUGGCAAGCGUUAUCCGGAUUUACUGGGUGUAAAGGGCGUGUAGGCGGGGAAGCAAGUCAGAUGUGAAAACCACGGGCUCAACCUGUGGCCUGCAUUUGAAACUGUUGAUCUUGAGUACUGGAGAGGCAGAUGGAAUUCCUAGUGUAGCGGUGAAAUGCGUAGAUAUUAGGAGGAACACCAGUGGCGAAGGCGGUCUGCUGGACAGCAACUGACGGUGAGGCGCGAAAGCGUGGGGAGCAAACAGGAUUAGAUACCCUAGUAGUC